CAAUAGCGUAUAUUAAAGUUGUUGCAGUUAAAAAGCUCGUAGUUGGAUUUCUGAUCGAGACAUCAGGUCGGGUCCGAGAGGGUCAUGUACUUUGAUUUUGUUUUGAUCAUCCUUGGGGAGAGCAUUUCUGGCAUUCAGUUGUCGGGAUUGGGAUCCUCAUCGUUUACUGUGAAAAAAUUAGAGUGUUCAAAGCAGGCCUCGGCCUCUGAAUACAUUAGCAUGGAAUAAUAAGAUAGGACUUUGGUGGUCUAUUUUGUUGGUUUGCACGCCAAAGUAAUGAUUAAUAGGGAUAGUUGGGGGUAUUCGUAUUCAAUUGUCAGAGGUGAAAUUCUUGGAUUUAUGGAAGACGAACUACUGCGAAAGCAUUUACCAAGGAUGUUUUCAUUAA
RNAcentral lists this ribosomal RNA (388 nucleotides) under uncultured eukaryote. RNAcentral describes it as "partial 18S ribosomal RNA". It matches the Rfam family "Eukaryotic small subunit ribosomal RNA", at positions 592 to 976 of the family's 1831-position model. The record is from RNAcentral.